GUAGGGUGCAAGCGUUGCCCGGAUUUAUUGGGCGUAAAGGGCGCGUAGGCGGCUCGGCACGUCCGUUGUGAAAUCGCCCGGCUCAACUGGGCGGGGUCAGCGGAUACGGCCGAGCUGGAGCAAGCUAGGGGGCAAUGGAAUUCCCGGUGUAGUGGUGGAAUGCGUAGAUAUCGGGAGGAACACCAGUGGCGAAGGCGGUUGCCUGGGGCUUUGCUGACGCUGAUGCGCGAAAGCGUGGGGAGCGAUCCGGAUUAGAUACCCGGGUAGUCCACGCCGUAAACGAUGCGGACUAGGUGUCGGGGGUAUCGACCCCCUCGGCGCCGCAGCUAACGCACUAAGUCCGCCGCCUGGGGACUACGGCCGCAAGGCUAAA
Molecule: ribosomal RNA, 373 nt
Filed under: uncultured bacterium
Lineage: Bacteria
Description: bacterial SSU rRNA
Rfam family: Bacterial small subunit ribosomal RNA
Source: RNAcentral